AGAUUGAACGCUGGCGGCAGGCCUAACACAUGCAAGUCGAGCGGUAGAGAGGUGCUUACACCUCUUGAGGGCGGCGGACGGGUGAGUAAAGCCUAGGAAUCUGCCUGGUAGUGGGGGAUAACGCUCGGAAACGGACGCUAAUCCGCAUACCGUCCUACGGGAGAAAGCAGGGGACCUUCGGGCCUUGCGCUAGUCAGAUGAGCCUAGGUCGAUUAGCUAGUGGUGAGUAUGGCUCACCAAGGCGACGAUCCGUAAUGGUCUGAGAGGAUGGAUCAGUCACACUGGAACUGAGACACGGUCCAGACUCCGUACGGGAGCCAGCAGGUGGGAACUGUUAGGAC
This 341-nucleotide ribosomal RNA is filed under the name uncultured soil bacterium. RNAcentral describes it as "bacterial SSU rRNA". It matches the Rfam family "Bacterial small subunit ribosomal RNA", at positions 26 to 371 of the family's 1533-position model. The record is from RNAcentral.